CUGCCUGCCCAGUGACCAAAGGUUAAACGGCCGCGGUAUCUUGACCGUGCGAAGGUAGCAUAAUCAUUUGUCUUCUAAAUAGAGACUGGAAUGAAUGGCAAGACGGGGCUUUACUGUCUCCUCCUCUCCGAUCUGAAACUCACAGUUCCGUGAAGAGGCGGAAAUUACUUCGCAAGACGAGAAGACCCUGUCGAGCUGUAGUAAAACUCCAACUGCUGUCAAUCUCUAAGCUCUACUAAUAAAGUAAAACUAGAGAGAAUAAGGAUGUGGUAGAUUGGAAUAAACUUUGAUUGGGGCAAUCACGGAGAAAAAAGAUCCUCCGAUACUUUACAGUUUAGUUAGACUUAAUGAAUAAGAAACACCGCUCUAAAAUCAUAAUUAGUGAAGGAAAGAUCCACUUAUAGUGAUCAAAGGAACAAGUUACCGCAGGGAUAACAGCGUAAUCUUUUUUGAGAGUUCACAUUGACGAAAAGGUUUGCGACCUCGAUGUUGGAUCGGGGCAUCCUAAGGGUGCAGAAGCUCUUAAGGGUUGGUCUGUUCGACCAUUAAAGCCCUACGUGA
Molecule: ribosomal RNA, 561 nt
Filed under: Metalia spatagus
Lineage: Eukaryota; Metazoa; Echinodermata; Echinoidea; Spatangoida; Brissidae
Description: partial 16S ribosomal RNA
Rfam family: Bacterial large subunit ribosomal RNA
Source: RNAcentral